This 253-nucleotide ribosomal RNA is filed under the name uncultured bacterium. Its description in RNAcentral is "partial 16S ribosomal RNA". It matches the Rfam family "Bacterial small subunit ribosomal RNA", at positions 524 to 776 of the family's 1533-position model. The record is from RNAcentral. RNAcentral also lists the same sequence under 1 other name.
GACAGAGGGUGCAAACGUUGCUCGGAAUCACUGGGCGUAAAGGGCGCGUAGGCGGAUCGGGAAGUCGGGUGUGAAAUCCCUGGGCUCAACCUAGGAACUGCAUUCGAAACUCCCGGUCUAGAGUGACGGAGAGGAAAGCGGAAUUCCCGGUGUAGAGGUGAAAUUCGUAGAUAUCGGGAGGAACACCAGAGGCGAAGGCGGCUUUCUGGACGUUGACUGACGCUGAGGCGCGAAAGCGUGGGGAGCAAACAGG